UACGGGGGGGGCAAGCGUUGUUCGGAAUUACUGGGCGUAAAGGGCUCGUAGGCGGCCAACUAAGUCAGACGUGAAAUCCCUCGGCUUAACCGGGGAACUGCGUCUGAUACUGGAUGGCUUGAGAUUGGGAGAGGGAUGCGGAAUUCCAGGUGUAGCGGUGAAAUGCGUAGAUAUCUGGAGGAACACCGGUGGCGAAGGCGGCAUCCUGGACCAAUACUGACGCUGAGGAGCGAAAGCCAGGGGAGCAAACGGG
This 253-nucleotide ribosomal RNA is filed under the name uncultured bacterium. Its description in RNAcentral is "partial 16S ribosomal RNA". It matches the Rfam family "Bacterial small subunit ribosomal RNA", at positions 524 to 776 of the family's 1533-position model. The record is from RNAcentral.